GAAAAUAUAGGUAGAGGACAUUUAUCCUACUAACUAUUUUCCUCCAACUUAGAUCAUGGUAAGUGCUUUCUUGAACUACCUCACAAGUAAACACACGCACACAGGAUACAUACACCCGAAAAAAAAUAGCUGCAGCUGUCUCUAGUUGCCGAAAACAACAUAUGGUAAGAUGAAAGUCAUACUUGCGGAGAUUGAGAGACUUAGAGGUGUAUAAGGUGGGAGGAUGUUGGGCGUCAUGUUUAGUAUUAUGCUUUGGCCCAUUGCACUCCGCAAUCUCUUCGUGUUUACUAUUCUGCUUUGGACUACUGUACUCCACAUUCUCGCCAACGGUCGACAUCUUUUCGUCCCUUUGCUAUCUAUCCUUUUCUCUUUGCUAUCUAUCCUUUUCUGGUCAUUGUUAGAAAUUCAAACCAUCUAUAAUUAGAAUUACAACAUUCGGUUUAUAAAAAUCAAUUUAACGGGUUAGUGCUCUUAACUAUUUGAGAUAUAUAGGGCCCUUGCUAGAUCCCAAAAUCCCAGAGGGAUUGUUAACUAGGAACACUCAAUGAUCUUUAGCAGCAAAAAGGCAAAAAUAAAAUAAAAUAAAUAAAUAUAUAAAAAAACACAAAAAAUAGUAGAAGGCAAGAUAUAAAUAAGAAAUUUAUUCAAGUAAGCAAUAUCUCACUUACAUCUGUUUUUGCAAUUCCUAAACAGAAAGGAAAAAAAAAUCCCAUUGUUUUUUUUUUUUUUUUACAUUGAUUUUUCUCAACUAUUUUUAAAAUAAUAAUUUUCCUUUCUCAGUCAAAAUUUUAAGUAUUUGUGGCCCUUUCCAACUCUAACUCUAAUAAUCCCUCUACAACCAAAGUUGCCAUUGACAACAUUUGUAGACAUAGUUUCUUCAUGGAGGCUCUUUCAAUACAUUAUCAUGUUACCAAGAGAGAAAAUAAAAACAAUGGGAAUUUUUUUGUUCUUUUAUGUUUUGAUAAAAAGCUAGUGGUUCAGUAUGUAAAAUUAACUAUAAAAAAAACGAAGAAGCUGUUUUGAUAAUUAAAAAAGAGAGGACACAUAUCACUUUGUGGUUGACCCUCAA
This 1069-nucleotide long non-coding RNA is filed under the name Prunus persica (peach). RNAcentral's name for it is "long non-coding RNA (PPER_LNC002615)". Lineage: Eukaryota; Viridiplantae; Streptophyta; Magnoliopsida; Rosales; Rosaceae. The record is from RNAcentral.